Molecule: ribosomal RNA, 253 nt
Filed under: uncultured bacterium
Lineage: Bacteria
Description: partial 16S ribosomal RNA
Rfam family: Bacterial small subunit ribosomal RNA
Source: RNAcentral
GACGGAGGAUGCAAGUGUUAUCCGGAUUCACUGGGCGUAAAGGGUGCGUAGGUGGCAUGGUAAGUUUGAUGUGAAAGCUCAGGGCUCAACCCUGAAAUGGCAUUGAAUACUAUCGUGCUGGAGGUUUGGAGGGGGGACUGGAAUUCUUGGUGUAGCAGUGAAAUGCGUAGAUAUCAAGAGGAACACCAGUGGCGAAGGCGAGUCCCUGGACAACACCUGACACUGAGGCACGAAAGCCGGGGGAGCAAACAGG